This is a long non-coding RNA of Siniperca chuatsi (mandarin fish), 251 nucleotides long. RefSeq lists it as uncharacterized. The record is from RefSeq and is a predicted model, not a curated record. NCBI's taxonomy places the organism in Eukaryota, Metazoa, Chordata, Actinopteri, Centrarchiformes, Sinipercidae. The transcript has 3 exons.
GGUACGGCGGCGGCAGAGUCGGCGUUUUUCUCCGGGAAACUUUUCUCAUCACCUGGGUUGUUUGAUUUAAAGCCUCAAACGUCGGUAGUGUUCCUCCAUCAGUGGAGGACAACAGCGGCAACAUGAAAAACAGUGACAGCUCUGCUGGACAGACAGACUUGCCCGGGUGGACACUUGAGAGGGAAUCUGAUGCAGUCCAGAGCCCUACUGAACACAAGACAAGGCAAGUUGGCUUCUGCACGCCCCCUGCU